AAAGAAAAUGACUGAAAUUUAGGUGGUAAAUUUUUAUUUUAUUUAUAAUGAAAAACUCAUUUUUUCUUA
This 69-nucleotide transfer RNA is filed under the name Liposcelis sculptilimacula. RNAcentral's name for it is "tRNA-Asn". The record is from RNAcentral. Lineage: Eukaryota; Metazoa; Arthropoda; Insecta; Psocodea; Liposcelididae.